Molecule: ribosomal RNA, 919 nt
Filed under: uncultured bacterium
Lineage: Bacteria
Description: bacterial SSU rRNA
Rfam family: Bacterial small subunit ribosomal RNA
Source: RNAcentral
GCAGCACGGGGGCAACCCUGGUGGCGAGUGGCGAACGGGUGAGUAAUAUAUCGGAACGUGCCCUGGAGUGGGGGAUAACGUAGCGAAAGUUACGCUAAUACCGCAUACGAUCUACGGAUGAAAGUGGGGGAUUCGCAAGAACCUCAUGCUCGUGGAGCGGCCGAUAUCUGAUUAGCUAGUUGGUGGGGUAAAAGCCUACCAAGGCGACGAUCAGUAGCUGGUCUGAGAGGACGACCAGCCACACUGGAACUGAGACACGGUCCAGACUCCUACGGGAGGCAGCAGUGGGGAAUUUUGGACAAUGGGCGCAAGCCUGAUCCAGCAAUGCCGCGUGAGUGAAGAAGGCCUUCGGGUUGUAAAGCUCUUUUGUCAGGGAAGAAACGGUGGGCUCUAAUACAGGCCACUAAUGACGGUACCUGAAGAAUAAGCACCGGCUAACUACGUGCCAGCAGCCGCGGUAAUACGUAGGGUGCAAGCGUUAAUCGGAAUUACUGGGCGUAAAGCGUGCGCAGGCGGUUUGGUAAGACAGAUGUGAAAUCCCCGGGCUCAACCUGGGAAUUGCAUUUGUGACUGCCCGGCUAGAGUGUGUCAGAGGGGGGUAGAAUUCCACGUGUAGCAGUGAAAUGCGUAGAGAUGUGGAGGAAUACCGAUGGCGAAGGCAGCCCCCUGGGAUGACACUGACGCUCAUGCACGAAAGCGUGGGGAGCAAACAGGAUUAGAUACCCUGGUAGUCCACGCCCUAAACGAUGUCUACUAGUUGUCGGGUCUUAAUUGACUUGGNAACGCAGCUAACGCGUGAAGUAGACCGCCUGGGGAGUACGGUCGCAAGAUUAAAACUCAAAGGAAUUGACGGGGACCCGCACAAGCGGUGGNUGAUGNNGAUUNAUUCGAUGCAACGCGAAAANCUUACCUACCCUUG